This 442-nucleotide ribosomal RNA is filed under the name uncultured bacterium. RNAcentral describes it as "partial 16S ribosomal RNA". It matches the Rfam family "Bacterial small subunit ribosomal RNA", at positions 338 to 795 of the family's 1533-position model. The record is from RNAcentral.
CCUACGUGAGGCAGCAGUGGGGAAUAUUGGGCAAUGGGCGCAAGCCUGACCCAGCAACGCCGCGUGAAGGAAGAAGGCUUUCGGGUUGUAAACUUCUAUUAAGGGGGAAGAGCAGAAGACGGUACCCCUUGAAUAAGCCACGGCUAACUACGUGCCAGCAGCCGCGGUAAGACGUAGGUGGCAAGCGUUCUCCGGAUUUACUGGGUGUAAGGGGCGUGCAGACGGGGAGACAAGUCAGAUGUGAAAUCCACGGGCUCAACCCGUGAACUGCAUUUGACACUGUCUCGCUUGAGUGUCGGAGAGGUAAGCGGAAUUCCUGGUGUAGCGGUGAAAUGCGUAGAUAUAAGGAAGAACACCAGUGGCGAAGGCGGAUUACUGGACGGUAACUGACGGUGAGGCGCGAAAGCGUGGGGAGCAAACAGGAUUAGAUACCCCAGUAGUC